RNAcentral lists this ribosomal RNA (564 nucleotides) under uncultured bacterium. Its description in RNAcentral is "bacterial SSU rRNA". It matches the Rfam family "Bacterial small subunit ribosomal RNA", at positions 338 to 916 of the family's 1533-position model. The record is from RNAcentral.
CCUACGGGAGGCAGCAGUGGGGAAUCUUGCGCAAUGGGCGAAAGCCUGACGCAGCAACGCCGCGUGCGGGAAGAAGGCUUUCGGGCUGUAAACCGCUUUCAGCAGGAACGAAAAUGACGGUACCUGCAGAAGAAGGAGCGGCCAACUAUGUGCCAGCAGCCGCGGUGAUACAUAGGCUUCAAGCGUUGUCCGGAUUUAUUGGGCGUAAAGAGUUCGUAGGCGGUCGAGUAAGUCGGGUGUGAAAAUUCUGGGCUCAACCCAGAGACGCCACCCGAUACUGCUUGACUUGAGUUCGAUAGGGGAGUGGGGAAUUCCUAGUGUAGCGGUGAAAUGCGCAGAUAUUAGGAGGAACACCGGUGGCGAAGGCGCCACUCUGGAUCGAUACUGACGCUGAGGAACGAAAGCAUGGGUAGCAAACAGGAUUAGAUACCCUGGUAGUCCAUGCCGUAAACGGUGGGCACUAGGUGUGGGUUUCUAUUAACGAAAUCCGCGCCGUCGCUAACGCAUUAAGUGCCCCGCCUGGGGGAGGUACGGUCGCAGACUAAACUACAAGAAGUUAGACGG